This is a non-coding RNA of Octodon degus (degu), 379 nucleotides long. The record is from the annotation of a RefSeq genome assembly. Lineage: Eukaryota; Metazoa; Chordata; Mammalia; Rodentia; Octodontidae.
UUCCCUGAUCAUGGAGCUCUUGGCUCUGUUCCUCUGCCUGGUGGCAGCACCCUGCUGUGUCCUGUCCCAGGUGCAGCUGCAGGAGUCAGGACCUGGCCUUGUGAAUCCUUCAGAAACCCUGUCCCUCACCUGCACAGUCUCUGGAUUCUCUUUAAGUAGUUAUGGUGUGCAGUGGACCCGUCAGGCCCCAGGGAAGGCAAUGGAAUGGGUUGGUGGUAUAUGGAGCGGUGGAAGCAUAUAUUAUAACCCCGACCUUAAAUCUCGAGUGAGCAUCAGCAGGGACACUUACCAGAGCCAAGUUUCAUUAACACUGAGCAGCCUGAGAUCUGAGGACACUGCUGUGUAUUACUGUGCAAGAUACACAGUGAGAGGAGAUUAG